This 205-nucleotide long non-coding RNA is filed under the name Phoenix dactylifera (date palm). RNAcentral's name for it is "long non-coding RNA (PDAC_LNC020909)". Lineage: Eukaryota; Viridiplantae; Streptophyta; Magnoliopsida; Arecales; Arecaceae. The record is from RNAcentral.
UCGACUUGCUCCUCCCGGAUCUUCCCCGACUCCGAGUCUCCGACUUGCUGAGUUGCUGCAGCGCUGACCCCCGACCGGCGACCGGCCGACCCCGACUUGCUGGUGAGUUUCCUCUUCUCCCCUCCGAGUCUUUGCUCCUCAGUUUUCAGUCCUCAGUCCUCAACUCCUCAACCGUUCUGUUUCACUGUUUGAUUUUAUCUAUUAU